RNAcentral lists this ribosomal RNA (463 nucleotides) under Vreelandella stevensii. Its description in RNAcentral is "partial 16S ribosomal RNA". It matches the Rfam family "Bacterial small subunit ribosomal RNA", at positions 338 to 795 of the family's 1533-position model. The record is from RNAcentral. Lineage: Bacteria; Pseudomonadati; Pseudomonadota; Gammaproteobacteria; Oceanospirillales; Halomonadaceae.
CCUCGGUGGCUGCAGUGGGGAAUAUUGGACAAUGGGCGAAAGCCUGAUCCAGCCAUGCCGCGUGUGUGAAGAAGGCCUUCGGGUUGUAAAGCACUUUCAGUGGGGAAGAAAGCCUUGGGGCUAAUACCCUCGAGGAAGGACAUCACCCACAGAAGAAGCACCGGCUAACUCCGUGCCAGCAGCCGCGGUAAUACGGAGGGUGCGAGCGUUAAUCGGAAUUACUGGGCGUAAAGCGCGCGUAGGCGGUCUGAUAAGCCGGUUGUGAAAGCCCCGGGCUCAACCUGGGAACGGCAUCCGGAACUGUCAGGCUAGAGUGCAGGAGAGGAAGGUAGAAUUCCCGGUGUAGCGGUGAAAUGCGUAGAGAUCGGGAGGAAUACCAGUGGCGAAGGCGGCCUUCUGGACUGACACUGACGCUGAGGUGCGAAAGCGUGGGUAGCAAACAGGAUUAGAUACCCUGGUAGUC